RNAcentral lists this ribosomal RNA (454 nucleotides) under uncultured bacterium. RNAcentral's name for it is "bacterial SSU rRNA". It matches the Rfam family "Bacterial small subunit ribosomal RNA", at positions 29 to 524 of the family's 1533-position model. The record is from RNAcentral.
AACGAACGCUGGCGGCAGGCUUAACACAUGCAAGUCGAACGCUCGUAGCAAUACGGGAGUGGCGGACGGGGUGAGUAACGCGUGGGAACGUGCCCUGAGGUACGGAAUAACUGAGGGAAACUUCAGCUAAUACCGUAUGAGCCCCGAGAGGGGGAAAGAUUUAUCGCCUUGGGAGCGGCCCGCGUCGGAUUAGCUAGUUGGUGGGGUAAACGGCCUACCAAGGCUUCGAUCCGUAGCUGGUCUGAGAGGACGAUCAGCCACACUGGGACUGAGACACGGCCCAGACUCCUACGGGAGGCAGCAGUGGGGAAUCUUGCGCAAUGGGGGCAACCCUGACGCAGCCAUGCCGCGUGAACGAUGAAGGCCUUAGGGUUGUAAAGUUCUUUUACCCGUGACGAUGAUGACGUAACGGGGAAUAAGCUCGGCUAAACUUCGUGCCAGCAGCCGCGGUAAU